This 1432-nucleotide ribosomal RNA is filed under the name uncultured Treponema sp. RNAcentral describes it as "16S ribosomal RNA". It matches the Rfam family "Bacterial small subunit ribosomal RNA". Lineage: Bacteria; Pseudomonadati; Spirochaetota; Spirochaetia; Treponematales; Treponemataceae. The record is from RNAcentral.
GUCUUAAGCAUGCAAGUCGAACGGCAGUGCAGGAGCUUGCUUUUGCAUUAGAGUGGCGGAUUGGUGAGUAACGCGUGGGUUAUCUACCUUUAAGUUGGGGAUAGCCGCUAGAAAUAGCGGAUAAUACCGAAUGUGCCUUUAUUUUUUUUAUUAAGGUGAAGGGAAAGGAGCUACGGCUUCGCUUGAAGAUGAGCCCGCGUCUCAUUAGCUUGUUGGUACGGUAAAGGCGUACCAAGGCGAUGAUGAGUAUCCGGCCUGAGAGGGUGGACGGACACAUUGGGACUGAGAUACGGCCCAAACUCCUACGGGAGGCAGCAGCUAAGAAUCUUCCGCAAUGGACGCAAGUCUGACGGAGCGACACCGCGUGGAUGAUUGAAGGCCGAAAGGUUGUAAAAUCCUUUUGUAGACGAAGAAUAAGAAGAUGAGGGAAUGCGUUUUCGAUGACGGUAGUUAUACGAAUAAGCCCCGGCUAAUUACGUGCCAGCAGCCGCGGUAACACGUAAGGGGCGAGCGUUGUUCGGAAUUAUUGGGCGUAAAGGGCAUGCAGGCGGUUUUGUCAGCCUGAUGUGAAAUACCGAGGCUUAACUUCGGAUGUGCAUUGGGUACUGCAAAUCUUGAAUCAUGAAAGGGGAAAUCGGAAUUCCGGGAGUAGGGGUGGAAUCUGUAGAUAUCCGGAAGAACACCGGUGGCGAAGGCGGAUUUCCAGUCGAUGAUUGACGCUGAGGUGCGAAAGUGUGGGGAGCAAACAGGCUUAGAUACCCUGGUAGUCCACACGGUAAACGAUGUACACUAGGUGUUGGGACAAUAGUUUCAGCGCCGUAGCAAACGUGAUAAGUGUACCGCCUGGGGAGUAUGCCGGCAACGGUGAAACUCAAAGGAAUUGACGGGGGCUCACACAAGCGGUGGGGCAUGUGGUUUAAUUCGAUGAUACGCGAGGAACCUUACCCGGGUUUGACAUUCUAAGGGAUGAUAUAGAGAUAUAUCAGCAUAGCAAUAUGUCUUAGAACAGGUGUUGCAUGGCUGUCGUCAGCUCGUGCCGUGAGGUGUUGGGUUAAGUCCCGCAACGAGCGCAACCCCUACUGCUGGUUACUAACAGGUAAAGCUUGAGGACUCUAGCGGAACUGCCGGUGAUAAACCGGAGGAAGGUGGGGACGACGUCAAGUCAUCAUGACCCUUAUGUCCGGGGCUACACACGUGCUACAAUGGUUGCUACAAAGCGCAGCUAGACCGCGAGGUUCGGCGAAUCGCAAAAAAGCAAUCGUAGUUCGGAUUGGAGUCUGAAACUCGACUCCAUGAAGUUGGAAUCGCUAGUAAUCGCACAUCAGCACGGUGCGGUGAAUAUGUUCCUGAGCCUUGUACACACCGCCCGUCACACCAUCUGAGUUAAGGGUACCCGAAGUCGCUUGUUUAACCUGUACGGGAGGACGGUGCC